AACGAACGCUGGCGGCAUGCCUAACACAUGCAAGUCGAACGAGACCUUCGGGUCUAGUGGCGCACGGGUGCGUAACGCGUGGGAACCUGCCCUUAGGUUCGGAAUAACUCCCCGAAAGGGGUGCUAAUACCGGAUAAUGUCUUCGGACCAAAGAUUUAUCGCCUUUGGAUGGGCCCGCGUUGGAUUAGCUAGUUGGUAGUGUAAAAGCCUACCAAGGCGACGAUCCAUAGCUGGUCUGAGAGGAUGGGCAGCCACACUGGGACUGGGACACGGCCCAGACUCCUACGGGAGGCAGCAGUGGGGAAUAUUGGACAAUGGGCUAAAGCCUGAUCCAGCAAUGCCGCGUGAGUGAUGAAGGCCUUAGGGUUGUAAAGCUCUUUUACCCGCGAUGAUAAUGACAGUACCGGGAGAAUAAGCACCGGCUAACUCCGUG
RNAcentral lists this ribosomal RNA (433 nucleotides) under uncultured bacterium. Its description in RNAcentral is "partial 16S ribosomal RNA". It matches the Rfam family "Bacterial small subunit ribosomal RNA", at positions 29 to 507 of the family's 1533-position model. The record is from RNAcentral.